AGAAGGAUAGGAUGUGCUAGCUAUUGGAUGCUAGUCUAAGCGUUUAGGGAGUUAGAAUAGGCAAAUCCGUUCUAACAAUUCUGAGGCGUGAUGGGGAAGGUUCUAAGGAACCGAAGUAUCUGAUUCCAUGCUUCCAAGAAAAGCAUCUAGAAAGAGAAAUAGUGCCCGUACCGCAAACCGACACAGGUAGGUGAGGAGAGAA
This 202-nucleotide ribosomal RNA is filed under the name Clostridium botulinum. RNAcentral's name for it is "partial 23S ribosomal RNA". It matches the Rfam family "Bacterial large subunit ribosomal RNA", at positions 1476 to 1678 of the family's 2925-position model. Lineage: Bacteria; Bacillati; Bacillota; Clostridia; Eubacteriales; Clostridiaceae. The record is from RNAcentral.